GAAUUUAGGUUAAUUAGAUCAAACCAAGGGCCUUCAAAGCCCUAAAUAGGAGCCACACCCCCUAAUUUCUG
RNAcentral lists this transfer RNA (71 nucleotides) under Lepidodactylus novaeguineae. RNAcentral's name for it is "tRNA-Trp". It matches the Rfam family "tRNA". From Rfam's summary of the family: Transfer RNA (tRNA) molecules are approximately 80 nucleotides in length. Their secondary structure includes four short double-helical elements and three loops (D, anti-codon, and T loops). Further hydrogen bonds mediate the characteristic L-shaped molecular structure. tRNAs have two regions of fundamental functional importance: the anti-codon, which is responsible for specific mRNA codon recognition, and the 3' end, to which the tRNAs corresponding amino acid is attached (by aminoacyl-tRNA synthetases). tRNAs cope with the degeneracy of the genetic code in two manners: having more than one tRNA (with a specific anti-codon) for a particular amino acid; and 'wobble' base-pairing, i.e. permitting non-standard base-pairing at the 3rd anti-codon position. The record is from RNAcentral. Lineage: Eukaryota; Metazoa; Chordata; Lepidosauria; Squamata; Gekkonidae.